RNAcentral lists this long non-coding RNA (723 nucleotides) under Piliocolobus tephrosceles (Ugandan red Colobus). RNAcentral describes it as "lncRNA (ENSPTEG00000003242.1)". The record is from RNAcentral. Lineage: Eukaryota; Metazoa; Chordata; Mammalia; Primates; Cercopithecidae.
UCUAGUUUCAGAUGUCACCUCAUGUCAAGAAUCUCCAGGCAGAAGGGUCACUCAUCCUCUCCUUUCCCUCACCUGCAACUCUGGGGGUUGAGGAGAGGACAAAAUAGAGCAAACAGAAUCCUUCCAGAUGGUCAGAUAGUCCUGGUUUACAGGGCACAGUAACCUGAAUUUUAUGGAUGAAGAAAUGGAGACCCAUUUCCUUAUGGAUGAAGAAAUGAAGAGAAGUUAAGCAACUUUCCAGAGGCCCCCCGGCGGUGAAUGCCGCUCUGCUGCAGGAUGCCAGCACAAGGGGAUGGGCCUGUCUUUGCCUUUGGGGAGAAUCGUUUCUGCGAAUUAUUUGGAGAAAGAUCCGAGUUUGCAGAGAAGCUGGCAGCUCAUCUGAGCAGAAAAGUAGAAGUCAAAGUGAUUUCUUGGAGGAGACUCAUGGGGGGCCUCCCGGGUCACCAAACAGCCAUCUCUCUCACCUGGAAGAAAUAGGAAUUGAUUUGAAGCUUGUCCCAUCUGAAAAGGUCUGUCGGGAGCCAGAACCAGCGCGUGUUGUCAAGGACGCUUUUGGUCUUCGGUCCGGAGAAGAAGUGAUUCAUGAUGAUUUGCUUUUCCAGGGAGUCAGGGAGACCCAGUGGAGAUGCAGGCUCGGGUCCCAGGGGCCUGCUGGGUUAGAUUGUUUCCCUGAGUGGGAGGAAGGGAGGAAAAUCAAGGAGCCAGUAGGAGCUGAUGAAUGAG